Molecule: long non-coding RNA, 9927 nt
Organism: Homo sapiens (human)
Lineage: Eukaryota; Metazoa; Chordata; Mammalia; Primates; Hominidae
Exons: 3
Source: RefSeq, a predicted model, not a curated record
UACUUGAUGGAUAUAUUUCCUUCCAACACAAUACUUAUCUUGUCUAUAUUUUUAUAGUCAUGGUUUAUUUACAGAGAUGUUUCUUAUAAUCAGAAAAGAGGCAUGCAGUAUUCUUAAGUUUAUCUCUCCUCGUUCUUAGGGCUUCUUGGAGACAGAGUUGCAUUGAGACCUGAGCAGGAAUUUUUUACCUUCAUAAGCACAUGGGUGAUCACCUCCCUGGACCCACUGUGGACUAAGGCUAGCUGGGUCAUGGCACACCAGAGGGUGUCACUGAAGCAGGGAAGACGAGCUAAGGUAAAAUGUUUCAUUACUAUUAGAGAUACAGGGAAAGAAUCCACAAUUUAUAAAUAGAAAAGAAAUAUGGGUAUGCUGGCAGGUGUACCUUAUUGUAUACUGUCUUGAUUAGUUUCUGGAAACCUUUUCAGAUGUCUUAUGUUAAUUGUAAGGGCUCAUGCCAAAGUACUCAAAUCUUAUUUUCUCCUUCCCUGCCACAUAUCUCUCUAGGCUAUUUCUCUGACAUAGAUCUUUGUAGACAAUGCAAACUCUUCAAUGUGUCUAUUAGCAAAGUCUUCAAAGGCCACCAUUUCUUCUUUUUUUUUCUUUUCGUGGCUUGUACCCUUCAGCAUGCUGAGCUUUUGAUGUCAGGUAUCAAUUUUUAACUUUUAAUUUUGUCUCCACAAAGUCAUGUAAAGAGAAAUACAAAGGUUAAAAUAAUACUUCUCAUAAGCAUACAGCUACAGAUUUCAUGGCUAAAAAUGGAAAAUUAAUAGUACCUUUCUCUUUUAACUCUUAAAGUGAUAACCACUUCUUGACUUCUGCCUUUCAAUGAGGUCCUUUGGGAAGAGGGUUUGGCUGCAGUUGUACAGAUUCAGCUUCUAGGACAGGAGUCCUUCUUCCCUGGGACAUAAUAGUGCUAAAUAGAAAACACCCCUUUUUAAUGUAAUGCUUAUUUAUUUAUUUAUUUAUUUAUUUAUUUAUUUACUGAGACAGGGUCUCACUCUGUCACCCAGGCUGGAAGCGCGGUCGCACCAUCUUGGUUCACUGCAGCCUCGACCUCCUGGGCUCAAGCCUCCCAAGUAGCCUGGACUACAGCACGCACCACCAUGCCUGGCUAACUUUUUGUAUUUUUGUUGAUAUGGGGUUUUGCCAUAUUGCCCAGGCUGGUUUUGAACUCCUGAGUUCAAGCCAUCUUCCCACCUCAGCCUCCCAAAGUGCUGGGAUUACAGGUGUGAGCUACCGUGGCUGACCAAUGCUUUUGGAUGAAUGUCUAACAUCUGUUUUUCAUCCGUUAAAGAUUUCAAAUGAUUGGUGGGACCUCCUAGUGCCAUCAGGGAGAGGUUAGAGAGGUGGGUAAGGAAUUUAUCCUGGUUGGUUUUUUUGUAGCUAGUCCGUCAAAGGUUCUCAGAUUGGAUAAUGAAGGGGCCAGAGGAAAGCCUCCCUGCUCUUGCUUCUGAAUCGCCAUGUCUUUCUAGAGGUCUUGGGAUUCCAUGUAGGAGUAGGCUCUGGGACCACAGAGGAUGGAGAGGAGAGAGGGGAGGGGUUGAGGAGAAAGAUAGGAAAUGCAAGUGCCAAGGUGGAAGGGCCCCAGGGCUUUUCAGAGUGGAGGCGCUUUAAUUGUCAGGCACCUAGGUCUCAUAUAGGAAAGCCCUCCAACUCCCUCCAUUGUCAGUAAAGCCUGUGACACACACAGAUGUUUUGUGAGUGAGUGAGUGUGUAUAUGUGUGUGUGAAUCAGAUGACAAGAGCCUGAUUUUACAUUUAAGUCAGAAGAGAGAGACAAGAGCAAGUGAGAUUUGGAAAAGAGAAACCCAGCCCUGAAGUGGACUGUAAGGAAGUAAAUUCCCAGGGUGUGCAGAAAUUUCAGAGCUGACGGGAGAUAGGGGGCUGGAGGCAACAUCUGGGGUGCACCCAAACAACCUUGGAGAAUGCUGGGAUGAAGGUGACCAGUGAGUAAAAGGCAGAACUGGGCUCUUAGCCCAUAUCUGUUGGACUUAGGUUAUGAAUAUAAAUAUAAUAAUCAUGAUAAUGACCAUCAUUAAUAUGGUUAAACCUGGACUUGUAAUCUUCAGAACAGCUCUAGGACAUGGCUCUAAGAUGACUCUCACUUCAGACACGAACGCAAACACUCUGAGAGCUUAAGAAACCUGCAGAAACCGAGCAGUGAAUAAGAACCUGAGCUGGGAUUCAAACCUGGAUCCAUCUGAUCCCAGAGUUCUUGAGUUCUUGCUUUUUUUUUUUUUUUUUUUUGAAACAAGAUCUUGGUCUCUCACCCAUGCUGGAGUGCAGUGGUGUGAUCAGAGCUCACUGCACCCUCAACCUCCUGGACUCAAAUGAUCCUCCCGCCUCAGCCUCCCAAGUAGCUGGGUACUACAGGCGCACACCACCAUGUCCAGCUUUUUUUUUAUAUAUUUUUUAUAUUUUUUUAUAGAGACAGGGUCUCUCUAUGUUGCUCAGGUUGGUCUCAAACUCCUGCCCUCAAGUGAUCCUCCAGCCUCAGCCUCCCAAAGUGCUGAAAUUGUACACAUGAGCCACUACGCCCAGCUUCUUGCUUCUUCUUAACCUCUUGCUUUACCUGAAUGCAGAUUAAAAGCUCUGUGUUGGGUUAAGUGGAUAAGGAUAAGCGAAAAGUCUCCUGUAUACCUUGUUAACAUUGUGCAUUUUAUUAAUACUGUCUAAUGGGCAGGUUGGCUGCCACCAUCAGAUGUUAAAUAAAUAAGUACAAACAGCAUCCUGAUAUAAACAUCAUCUGCCAGCUUUGACAGUUGCUCUGAAAUUGCUCUCAGAGUGCUUGGAGAUGGUAGAAGACACAAGAAAAUCAGCAGAAAGCUUUCCGGAUUGAGCCUUUGAUCUCAGCAGGGCUCAGAUCAAGGUCCACCACGCGUACAACGCCUUGGUUUAACCAGCGCCUGAAGGAUUAACACAGAACAAAAGCUCAAAGCACACUACCUGCGUAAUUUCUAAAUGAACACAUUUGCUGCUGUCUCUGUAUGUUGCAGGGUUUACACUGAGGUUCAUUACUUCUCUGCCUUACUAUAGACGGAAUAUUUAUGCAUUUUUCAGCACAGGCUACUUCUCCUCUUGCAUAAUAAUUCAGUAGAAAAACGGGGCAGAGGAAAAAAAACGAGAAAAAAAAUCUGGUUAGUUUUUAUGUUUUGUUUUGAAUAGAUUUUUAAGAAUUAGCAAAUUUAGCAGCUGGACCUAGAGGAGAAGGUGGGCCCUUUCGGGUCAGAAGGCCUGCAUUUGAGCAGUUCAGUGUUCAGGUAACCCCGAGCAUAUUUUCCACCAGUCCCAGUUUCCUGAUCUCUGGAUUUCCAGCCCAGCACUCUUGUUGCUACCACUUACUGCACAGAUCUCUGCAUAACUAUGUGAGCAGACACUUAGCGAGCAGGGCCAUGUGCUUGUGAUAAGAGACUAAUCAGGUAGAACCAACACCAUUGCAAGAGGUUUCCAAGGGGAGAGACCUCUGUGGGCUGGUGGAGACACCUGUGAGGGCAGGAGCUCCAGACAGCCUUUCUUUGCAGGUCCUCUGCCCCACUCACAAAUCUGUGUCCCUUGCAGUCUUGUACCUUCCCAACUGAAGGAACUGCCAUUCUCAAUGACUCAAACCAAACAGUGGGAGACUGGUCAAUGCACAGGCCUCAGGUUUCUCCUCCCAGCCAGCAGGGGGAAGCAGCUGGACCGUACAUGAGGCCUCUCACCUCGGCCAUGACCUCGCACUGGUGACUAGGGGUCAGCCCAUUGUGGGAGUAUUUACACCAUGGAAAUCGGCAAACCCUAACACUAAGGGCUUUGUUUAUUCCAGAGAGCUGGCUUACUGGCACACCACUUAUGUACCCCAAAUUGCUUUACCUCUCUCCAUCCCCACUGAGACAGGAGUAAUACAGGGUGGUCAGGUGGUCACCGGAGACUAGAAACUUCCAGGCAGCAGUGUCGCAUGAUUAGCAAAAGGAAACUGCUGAAAUAGCUGCAGAAGAGAGGGGCCAAUGGGACCCUGAACAACAGGAUGUGGGCCACGCUGGCUAAGACCACUGGACCCAGCGUGGCACUGGAUUUGACCUAGGUUUCACCUAGGACCUCAUUAUAUGCUCAUUAACAUUCUGAGUCACACACCCAUCAGUGCCAGGACAAUUCUGGGAACACACAUGUUUGGUGUAAAAACGGGUGGCAACACAGUUUUGAGAAACCUUUACAUUUUUCUAGGAAUUUUCAUGAAUAUUCCACCCCCCGUUAGAGAAACCCAUAAAGAUGGAAGUCCCAAGUUGCCUCGGGUGUGACUCUCUUGAGUAUUCCUGAACUCCCGUCUUGAGUGCAAGCUUUUCUCUUCACAAUAAAUCUCUGUAGUUUUUUCCAACUCAUCCUUGAAUUCCUUCACAUGACAGCAUCAAGAGCCUUGACACCGGCCGGGGUCGAGGUCUCACUGGCAUUUGGAGACCUCCCCUAGCCCGCUGGUAUCACCACCGCAACCAUCUGAGUCCAGCCUGCCAUCAGCCCUCACCAGGAUAACUGCACUAGUUAGCUUCCCCCACUCCUGCCCCUUCUAGUUCACUCCACUACAGCUGAAGAGGAGUCUUAAACCUAAAAUGGGCCAUAGGUCACAUCCGUACUUAGCUUCUUAUCAAACUUAGAAGAAAAUCCCAAACCCCCACCUGUCCUGCAGGACUCUGCAUGAUUCAGUUCUGUUCACCUCUUCCCCUUCUCCCCUAGGAUCCCCGGGAGGAACCGCACUGACUUCUACUCCGUGCUGGACCAUCCCAUUUCCUCCCAACCUCAGGACCCUUGUCCUCAUCCUCUCUCUGCCUGGCUUAAAUGCAACCUCCUCACAGAGAUCUUUCUGGACCAGCAUUCUGAGUAAAUGACCUCCCAUGUCAGCACCAGUUCAUCUCUAUUAGUCAUGAUUUGGGCUUAUUUAUAGCCCUUGUGCAUUUUAUAACUCUACUUGUUCAUUAUUGUCUUAUAGUGUGUUCUCUCUCAACAAACUGUAAUCUCCCAAAGGACAGGAUCCAUCUGUUUUGUUCACCCAGAUGUCACCAAUGCCUGGUACCUAAUACACUCUCAAUUGGUAUUUGUUAAAUAAUCAGGGGAUAAAUAAGCAUGCUUGUUUUCAGAGCAGAUUUAAGAGAAUAAGAGCUCUGAACUUAGGGUCUAAAGUGAGGCUUCAGGAAAGUAGAACCCCUUUGAAAUCAUGUGGAAAAUAUCUUGUCUGUGGAUCUUUCCUUUUCAGUCCUUUCAAACUGUUGUGCUCCGAAAUCAGCCACCUAUAGUAAAAACUGCGUGGGGGCUCGUGUUGUUUGGACAGCAGUUACAUUGGAAUCAGCCUCCACAUGGCUCUUCACUGCCUCGUUGACGCUCUACUCAGUCAUGGGCGCAGCAACAAUCAACAACGCUCCAACAAGGACCCUUCACCAUUGUUUUCAUAACUGUUCUUUGUAAGUCAGUGAGUUCUUUAGUCCUGGUCAGAUGUCUCCUGGCACCUACAACUCUGAAGACAGUGUGCAGAGGCGCACAGGACAAAUGUGCUUCUGAAGAAACAGUUCAGGGUAUGCACAUUCCCUGAGGAUGUGAGCUCCUAUUGUAUUCAGCAGAGCCAGAGAGAUCUGAUGUUAUUCAGUCUUUUCAGGCCUGCGGCCCCCCAGGCCUUAUGGGAUGUGGGAUGGGGAUCCUGAUGGCCCAGGGGAUGACUUAGAGUCCAAGAGAACACUGCAUAGAGAAGCAGCUGCUGGCUGGUCCCCUUCAUGGACUGCUCUGCCUCUUAGAUCGAUGCUUAAUGCCCAUAUUGAUUGCAAUUGGUUUACUGACUGAAAUCAGCAGUUCCAGAAGAUGUGGUAAACAUUCCCAAAUGAAGAGGAAGAGGAACCAAUCUGUGCAGAGGCGCGCACACGCGCGCACACACACACACACACACACACACACACACAAGGUUUUCUCUGAAAUCAUAAAAUGUUUAUCACAAUAGCAGAUAAUGGAGUAGCAUUAUCUUCAGAACACAAAGGUACCAGUUAAAUCUGUUGGGCAAAAUGUCCCCCACCGCUAGGGACACACACAGAAGCUCAGAGCCAAAUCUCCUCUGUUGUUUUGAUUUCCUACCUCUGUGAUUACAGAAACUGCAAAGUCUUGACUGGGGGUGGCAGAGAGAGCUCAUCUAUUAAAAAGUACUUUUUAAAAAAUCAGAAAAAUAGAGAACAGAACCCAGGAGGGACUAAUUAUAAUGCAUCUCCAGACAUGGGUGGAAGAAGAGAGAAAGCAUUUUGCCAAACCAACAGAUCUCCCGACAUGUAGACCUCUGAGGUCCAGCUAUGAUUCCCUGUGAACAGGCAAAAUCGAGAUGCUUUUCUAGAAAACAUCAUGCCACAUCACAGGUCAGUUCUUCCCAGCAGAAAAUAGAUUUUCACAAUAAUUUAAUUUUAAUAUUUCCUUGUGUAAACUGGAUAUUCUGAGACUCAACCCUGUAUUUUUGAAUACUUGAUGGGUAUGAAGGGAGACAUGCUGCUAUUUUUAAGCUUGCAGAAAUUUUUGAGUUUGUCCUUAGGAGGAAUAUCAGUCCUUUAUUUCAGAAAAAAAAAUUAACCAAAAAAAAAAUCACAAAGCACUUCAAUGAGCCUUUUGAUUUGGCAAAGAGGAAUCCCAAACCCUGCGGAGGAAUGAAGAGAUUCUGAUCAGUGAGAAGUGAAAUCAUGCUGCACGAUCAUCUGAAGAGCUGUCAGCUCUUUGGACAGAAUUCACCUGGAGUUGGUGGUGUGUCUCGGGAGCUGGGCUUGGUAUUUGAGUUUGUGUGUAUCGGGCUCGGGCUGCAGAGGUCUUUCUGUUGUUUCCCAAAGAUUUAAGGUGGUCAGACCCAUAGUAGGAGUUAGGAUUCAAGAUGCUUCUGUUGAUGGCAGGUGGGACGUGGGAUACAGUCCUGGAGAGUCGGUGUAGAAACCUGGUGUCCGGUUGAGGGUUUAGGAGAAGCACGUCUCGUGAAGACCGACUUCUAUGAUGGAACUUGGCUUAAAAUCAUAGCCUUCCUUCAACUUCUUCCUGUCCCUCCCACCUUUCCAUGAAGUUGUGAUAAAUACCAAAAUAGCAUGAUUUUAAUCCUAUUUUGAGAAACUAGGAGAGGCACUUAAUCCACAUUUAGGAUAAAUAAAUACAAGGAUGCUACACACCUACUAGAGUGCCCAAAACCCAGGACACCGAUGACACCAAAUGCUGGCAAAGAAGUGGAGCAACAGGAACUCCCAUUCACUGCUGGUAGGAAUGCAAAAGAGUUAAGCUCCUUUGGAAGACAUUUUUGCAAUUUCUUACAAAGCUCAACACACAAUAGUCUUCUUUGUCCACAGUUUCACUUUCUGCUGUUUCCGUCAACCAUGGUGUGAAAAAAAAACUGGAAAAUUCCCCAAAUAAACAAUUCAUAAGUUUUAAAUUGCAUCCCAUUCUUCAUAGCAUGAUGAAAUCUCUGGCUGUCCUGCUCUGUCCCACCUGGGAUGUGAACCAUCCCUUGUCCGGGGUCUCCACACUGCCUAUGCUGCUUGCCCCUCGGCUACUCAGUGGCUGUCUCGGUAAUCAGAUUGACUGUCACAGCCUCACAGUGCUAGUGUUCAAGUAACCCUUAUUUUACUUAAUAGUGGGCCCAAAGGGCGAGAUUAUUGAUGCUGGCAAUUCAGAUAUGCCAAAGAGAAGCCAUAAAGUGCUUUAAGUGAAAACAGGAAAGCUCUAGACUUAAUAAGGAAAGAAAAAAUAUGGUAUGCUGAGGUUGCUAAGACCUACAGUAAAAACGAAUCUUCUAUCCACAGAAUUGUCAAAAAGGAAAAAGAAAUUCAUGCAGUUUUAGUCAUCUACUGUGGGUCUUGGGACUUGUCCCCGUGGGAUAAGGGAGUACUGUGGUCUUACCAUACAAUCCAGCAACCUCAAUCUUUGGUAAUGACCUAAAUGAGAUAAAAAUGUAUGGCCACGCAAAAACCUGCAUAUGGAUGUUCAUGACAUCUUCAUUCAUUAUUGACAGAACUCGGAAGCGACAGUGAUGUUCUUCAGUUCGUGAAUGGAUAAACAAACAGUGAUGCAUUCAGACAAUGGAGUUAGUGUUUGGAAGAAACUUUUUUUUUUUUUUUUUUUUUUGAGAUGGAGUCUCACUCUGUCACCCAGGCUGGAGUGCAGUGGCACGAUCUUGGCUCACUGCAACUUCCACCUCCCAGGUUCAAGCAAUUCUCCUGCCUCAGCCUCCCAAGUAGCUGGGACUACAGGCACGUGCCACCAUGCCUGACAAAUUUUUGUGUUUUUAAUAGAGACGGGGUUUCACCAUGUUGGCCAGGCUCGUCCCAAACUCCUAAAUUCAGGUGAUCCGUCCGCCUCGGCCUCCCAAAGUGCCGGGAUUACAGGCGUGAGCCACUGCAGCCAGCCUUGGAAGAAAUUUAAAUGCAUGUUACUAAGCAAGAGAAGCCAACCAAAAAUGCUACAUACUGUAUUACUUCAAAUAUGUGGCAUUCUGGAAAAGGCAAAACUUUUUGGAGACAGAAAAAGGAUCAGCGGUUGCCAGGGUUUAGAGGGAGGGCAGGAUGCAUAGGUGGCACACUGAGGAUAUUUAGGGCAGUGAAACUGUUCUGCAUGACACGGUAAUGGUGGAUGCAUUCCAUUAUACAUUUGUCAAGACCUAUAGAAGGUCUACCACCAAGAGUAAGCCCUACGUAGACUAUGGACUUUGGGUGAUAAUGACCUGUCAAUGUAGGAUUAGCAAUAGUAACAAAUGCACUGCUUUGGUGAAGGACACUGAUAAUGGAGGAGGCUGUGCACAUGUGGGAACAGGGUAUAUAUGUGGGGAAUCUCUGUAUCUUCCACUCAAUAUUGUUAUGAGUCUAAAACUGCUCUAAGAAACAGUCUAUUCUUUAAGAAAUAGGAGAAAAGAGGAGAAGAAAGAGGGGGCGGGGGAAACAGGGAGAUCUGUAGGCUCCUGCGGAAGGUCAUUGCAAAAUACUGGUGAUUCCAGGGAAGGUUGGAACAGCCUCUUUCUGAGAAAAAAUGAGUGUGGCAGAUGUCAGCAGAUACAAUCAUCCUCUGCCGCCUGCUGCUCUUCCUUUAUUCUUGGGUCUCUGAGCUUCUCUUUCUUGUCUGAACCCCUUUGCACACAAGGAUUAGCCAAUCAGAAUGCUUUCUCCCACUGGCAACAGUGAAGACUCCAUCCUGGAGAAUCAGAACCUUCUCUAGGAUUUUUGUUGAACUUUCAACUGUUGGUUGAAAUGGUUGCCGUGGAGAUGGUCUCAGCCUAGAGCGGCUGCUGUUCAGCUUUGGCCCCUGAAGGGAGAACACAUCUGAGGAUGAAGAAUGGUUGAGGCAUUUGUUCCUCUGGUUUUCUCUCUGCUCCAGUGCAGUAGGCACUGGGGCAGAAGUGGUUCCUCCAUUAUUAGCAGCCCAGGGUUCUUUCAACCUGCCUACAUCUGGAAAAUACCUCCUUAUCAAACUCUUCAUCACCAGUGUCAGUUCAUGGAAGGAAUCCUUAUUGUCCCCAUCUUAAAGACCUCCGAAACGAAACCAGAGAUACUGAAUGAUUUGCCUGGGAUGACUCCGCUACCACUUGGCACAGCCACGGUGCAAACCCAGUUGGGCUGGCACUGAACACCCAGACUGUAGAUCCCUCCUGCCUGACUCAAGAGCCUCUGUCUAUAUGGAAGCAAUCAACUUAAGGUGCUGGCAGCUGAUAAAGACUUGAUCUCUAACUUCUCUCAGAUAUCUACAUCUAACUUAGUUUGGGACAAGGGAUAGCUUGCUGGGGUCAGCAAACUAUGGCUUGUGGGCCAAAUUGGGUCUAUUGCCUGAUUUUUACAAAUAAUUUAUUGAAGUGAAAUUCAUAUAACAUUAACCAUCCUAAAGCCAGCAAUUCAGUGGCACUUAGUACAUUCCCAGUGUACCCCUCUAUCUAGUUCCAGGCACUUCCAACACUCCAAAUAAAACUCUCUUAUGG